This is a non-coding RNA of Mesocricetus auratus (golden hamster), 67 nucleotides long. The record is from Ensembl. Lineage: Eukaryota; Metazoa; Chordata; Mammalia; Rodentia; Cricetidae.
CAAGAAGUAGUUCAACUAGAAUUUCAGCUUUGGGUGCUGAAGGUGGGGGAUAGUCCUUCCUUCUUGA